AGACCAAGGGUUCCAGUCCAACGUUAAUCGGGGCUGGGUGAGUCGACCCCUAAGGCGAGGCCGAAAGGCGUAGUCGAUGGGAAAAUGGUUAAUAUUCCAUUACUUCUGUGUAAUGCGAUGAGAGGACGGAGAAGGCUAAAUCAGCCUGGCGUUGGUUGUCCAGGUGAAAGGAUGUAGGCAUGUAUCUUAGGCAAAUCCGGGGUACUCUAUGCUGAGAUCUGAUAGCAAGCUGUACUUGUACAGCGAAGUGGUUGAUGCCAUGCUUCCAGGAAAAGUCUCUAAGCUUCAGUUACACAGGAAUCGUACCCGAAACCGACACAGGUGGUCAGGUCGAGUAGACCAAGGCGCUUGAGAGAACUCUGCUGAAGGAACUAGGCAAAAUGGUACCGUAACUUCGGGAGAAGGUACGCUGUUGUUGGUGAUGGAACUCGCUUCCUGAGCUGACGACAGCCGCAGAAACCAGGCCGCUGCAACUGUUUAUUAAAAACAUAGCACUCUGCAAACACGAAAGUGGACGUAUAGGGUGUGAUGCCUGCCCGGUGCUGGAAGGUUAAUUGAUGGGGUUAGCGUAAGCGAAGCUCUUGAUCGAAGCCCCAGUAAACGGCGGCCGUAACUAUAACGGUCCUAAGGUAGCGAAAUUCCUUGUCGGGUAAGUUCCGACCUGCACGAAUGGCAUAAUGAUGGCGGCGCUGUCUCCAGCAGAGGCUCAGUGAAAUCGAAAUCGCUGUGAAGAUGCAGUGUACCCGCGGCUAGACGGAAAGACCCCGUGAACCUUUACUGCAGCUUGACACUGAACUUUGACCUUACUUGUGUAGGAUAGGUGGGAGGCUUUGAAGCUGGAACGCUAGUUCCAGUGGAGCCGUCCUUGAAAUACCACCCUGGUAAUGUUGAGGUUCUAACUCUGUCCCGUGAUCCGGGACGAGGACCGUGUCUGGUGGGUAGUUUGACUGGGGCGGUCUCCUCCUAAAGAGUAACGGAGGAGUACGAAGGUGCGCUCAGCGUGGUCGGAAAUCACGCGUAGAGUAUAAAGGCAAAAGCGCGCUUAACUGCGAGACCCACAAGUCGAGCAGGUACGAAAGUAGGUCUUAGUGAUCCGGUGGUUCUGUAUGGAAGGGCCAUCGCUCAACGGAUAAAAGGUACUCUGGGGAUAACAGGCUGAUACCGCCCAAGAGUUCAUAUCGACGGCGGUGUUUGGCACCUCGAUGUCGGCUCAUCUCAUCCUGGGGCUGAAGCAGGUCCCAAGGGUAUGGCUGUUCGCCAUUUAAAGAGGUACGCGAGCUGGGUUUAGAACGUCGUGAGACAGUUCGGUCCCUAUCUACCGUGGGCGCUGGAAAUUUGAGAGGAUCUGCUCCUAGUACGAGAGGACCAGAGUGGACGAACCUCUGGUGUACCGGUUGUGACGCCAGUCGCAUCGCCGGGUAGCUAUGUUCGGAAGGGAUAACCGCUGAAAGCAUCUAAGCGGGAAGCCUACCUCAAGAUAAGAUUUCCCUAGGACUUUAUGUCCUCUAAAGAGCCGUUCGAGACUAGGACGUUGAUAGGUUGGAUGUGGAAGCAUAGUGAUAUGUGAAGCUGACCAAUACUAAUUGCUCGUGAGGCUUGACUAU
Molecule: ribosomal RNA, 1604 nt
Filed under: Acinetobacter baumannii
Lineage: Bacteria; Pseudomonadati; Pseudomonadota; Gammaproteobacteria; Moraxellales; Moraxellaceae
Description: partial 23S ribosomal RNA
Rfam family: Bacterial large subunit ribosomal RNA
Source: RNAcentral